RNAcentral lists this ribosomal RNA (495 nucleotides) under uncultured bacterium. RNAcentral's name for it is "partial 16S ribosomal RNA". It matches the Rfam family "Bacterial small subunit ribosomal RNA", at positions 28 to 507 of the family's 1533-position model. The record is from RNAcentral.
GAUGAACGCUGGCGGCGUGCCUAAUACAUGCAAGUAGAACGCUGAAGGAGGAGCUUGCUCUUCUGGGUGAGUUGCGAACGGGUGAGUAACGCGUAGGUAACCUGCCUGGUAGCGGGGGAUAACUAUUGGAAACGAUAGCUAAUACCGCAUGACAACAGUUAUUGCAUGAUAACUGUUUAAAAGGGGCAACUGCUCCACUACCAGAUGGACCUGCGUUGUAUUAGCUAGUUGGUGAGGUAACGGCUCACCAAGGCGACGAUACAUAGCCGACCUGAGAGGGUGAUCGGCCACACUGGGACUGAGACACGGCCCAGACUCCUACGGGAGGCAGCAGUAGGGAAUCUUCGGCAAUGGACGGAAGUCUGACCGAGCAACGCCGCGUGAGUGAAGAAGGUUUUCGGAUCGUAAAGCUCUGUUGUAAGAGAAGAACGAGUGUGAGAGUGGAAAGUUCACACUGUGACGGUAUCUUACCAGAAAGGGACGGCUAACUACGUG